AGUUCGGAGGUGUUUUACAUGUUGAAUUGCAAAUUCAAAGUAGCAGUCUAACCCCUGCCCGGACUU
Molecule: transfer RNA, 66 nt
Filed under: Choerodon schoenleinii (blackspot tuskfish)
Lineage: Eukaryota; Metazoa; Chordata; Actinopteri; Labriformes; Labridae
Description: tRNA-Cys
Source: RNAcentral